Molecule: small RNA, 597 nt
Filed under: Pongo abelii (Sumatran orangutan)
Lineage: Eukaryota; Metazoa; Chordata; Mammalia; Primates; Hominidae
Description: retained intron
Source: RNAcentral
AGGGAUACAUUAUGAAAUAGGAAAGCCUUUACCUUAGUAAUAUUCUUGUUCCCUCUCCAAAGAUUGUGUGUGUGGUUUUGGUGUAGUUGGUAUAGUUGGGCUUUUCUUCAACAGCAUGUACAUGCUGUGCUUACUGUCAGUUUAAAGGCAGUUUGUAAUAUAAAAAGAGAUAACUUAAGCGUCACAUGUUAGAAUGCUCACAGACUUCCCACAUCCUUCAAAACAGGCUAAAGUGUUAUGUUUCUGAAAGCCAGAUGUGGAUUGGUUCAGUUAUACCUAUUAAGUGCUUAAAACUUAAAUGUAAAUUAUGUAUAUGCUUUUUUGUAAGGGAGUGUUUAGACAUUUCUGAUGAUUUGUCUUCUAUUUGUCUAACUUUCUUAAUUUGGAUUUCAGAUUAACGUCUUCAAGGACCCAGUUGCUGAUCCCAACAAAAGGUCCAAAAAGGGCCGAUUAUCUUUACAUAGGACGCCAGCAGGGAAUUUUGUUACACUGGAGGAAGGAAAAGGAGACCUUGAGGAAUAUGGUCAUGAUCUUCUCCAUACUGUCUUCAAGAAUGGCAAGGUGACAAAAAGCUAUUCAUUUGAUGAAAUAAGAAAA